UACGUAGGGUGCAAGCGUUAAUCGGAAUUACUGGGCGUAAAGCGUGCGCAGGCGGCUUUGCAAGACAGAUGUGAAAUCCCCGGGCUUAACCUGGGAACUGCAUUUGUGACUGCAUGGCUGGAGUGCGGCAGAGGGGGAUGGAAUUCCGCGUGUAGCAGUGAAAUGCGUAGAUAUGCGGAGGAACACCGAUGGCGAAGGCAAUCCCCUGGGCCUGCACUGACGCUCAUGCACGAAAGCGUGGGGAGCAAAAAGG
Molecule: ribosomal RNA, 253 nt
Filed under: uncultured bacterium
Lineage: Bacteria
Description: partial 16S ribosomal RNA
Rfam family: Bacterial small subunit ribosomal RNA
Source: RNAcentral